RNAcentral lists this ribosomal RNA (433 nucleotides) under uncultured bacterium. Its description in RNAcentral is "partial 16S ribosomal RNA". It matches the Rfam family "Bacterial small subunit ribosomal RNA", at positions 29 to 507 of the family's 1533-position model. The record is from RNAcentral.
AGCGAACGCUGGCGGCAGGCCUAACGCAUGCAAGUCGAACGAACUCUUCGGAGUUAGGGGCGGACGGGUGAGGAACACGUGGGAACGUGCCCUUGGGUUCGGAAUACCUCACGGAAACUUGUGCUAAUACAGAAUGUGCCCUUCGGGGGAAAGAUUUUUCGCCAUUAGAGCGGCCCGCGUCUGAUUAGCUAGUUGGUGAGGUAACGGCAGGCCAUGGCGCCGAUCAGUAGCUGGUCUGAGAAGAUGACCCGUCACACUUGGACUGCGACACGGCCCAGACCCCUACGGAUGGCAGCGGUGGGGAACCUUACGCAAUGGACGAGAGCCUGACGGCGCCCCGUCGGGAGAAUGAGGCAGCUGUUAGGAUCCUGAAAUUGUUUCAGAGGGGACGUUAAUGACGGUAAUCGGAGAAGAAGCCCCGGCUAACUUCGUG